UAUUUUUGGUAGUAAUAUGUGGGUAUACUGUAUUACACUAUGACAUGAAUGUUUAAUAUUGAUAUUUUACCUGAACAAUUUUUGUCAGUACGAAAAGAAGUACUUGUGAAGGAAAUAAAUUAUUUUUCUAAAUAUGCAUUUAUUGAACUGUUGAAUAAAUAUUCUGUCAUUUCAAAAUAAUUUUUAAUUAUUAUCAAUAACCCAUUCUCUAUAAUGAUCACUCAUACAUUUCAUUAUGACUACUUUAUAAACACUACAGGAAAUCAGUUUGAUUUUAUGCCUGCUACUAAACGCGUAAUUAUCUUUACUAAAUCUUUUAUAGUUUCUAAUCAUUCGUUUUGUUGGUGGAUUACAAAAAAUUUAGUUAAAACAACCAAAUAUAUGAUUGGCAAUGGGUAAUCAAAUCAUUUUCUUGUCAUAACUAAAAUUUAGUUGUCAGAAAAUUUUUUUCUCAGUGUGACGUUACCUAAAUUUAAUCUAAUGAAUGAACGUUAAAGUAAAAAAUACCCGGCUUUGCACGAUUUUGAAAACAUUCAUUUAAUUUAAAUUUAUAAUCUAUUAUAAAAUAAUUUGAUACAUCAUAUUUUGAUAUAUUUAGUUUCACAAAUAAUUAUUUAUCAAUAAUAAUAUUUUUAGUUGUAAUUUGUUUUUAUAAAAAUUAUAGAAAAACGCCUCAAACAUUUCAAGUGAGCGACUAAUGGUACUGAGCGGGCAUAGGGGCUUUUACUGUACUAAUAAUUGGAAAUAAAAAAAAUUAUCAAUUCGGAAUUUAUAUAAAUAAUUAAUGAAACGAACGAUAUAUUAUUUUUAUCGGAAUGUCGACUCGGGUAGACCGACGUAAAAGUGGUCCUCUGAAUCUAAUAAAAAUAAAAGUAUGAGUAUUUUUAUUUUUUUUCUAAGUCUCAGGUAAACUCCUUUCUUCCUUCUCGGCAAUCUGGAGUCUCUCAAACAGUCCAGCUAAUGUAAAUGUAGCGUAGAGGUGGUGGUUAAAGACUCCUCCUGCUAAUAAAAGCCGCUCACUAGGCGCCGUCACAUACAAACAGUUACAGGCUGCCAGAGCACUGAUAAAUUCAAGUGCAAGUGAUUGGUGAACAUGAGGCUGUAUAUUAUUAUUUCGUGUUUAAUUUUAAUUGUUAAUUCCUAUCCUCUGAGGGAUGAAUAUAAUUCAGAGGCAUCGGAUCAUUAUUUGACUUUGGUAAAAGAAAACAAUGAUGCUGCUUUAAGAAGUAAAAGGACUGUUGGAGUUUUACGUCAAUUUUUUCCCGAAAUAACUGAGAUGAUUGACGGUAUAGUGAACAAGGUAGUCUCCGAGGUGAUAAAAGCUGUGGGUCCAGCAUUGGUACAGAAUUUACUAGGCGGAAAUCGUAAAGAGAAUGAUGGAAAUACCAGAAAUAAUGACGAAGGUAGUGAAGUUACAGUGGCGCUACCAGCGGACGAAUUCGAAGACUCGGAUUUGAAUGCUAAUGAAAAUGAGUCUGACAUUACGGACAUAAAUAAUAAGGAUAGUUUUAGCAAAGUUAAUAUUCCUCUGCCGACUUUUCAAACUAAUGAAGUAACUGAGGCAUCAGAUGCUACGAUAUCGAGCACUUGGCCGAUUGAUUCCGUGCAAACGGAAGGAUCUAACAGUCAAGAACCAGCGGUCACAGCAACUACAGGAUCUGGAUAUAGCAGAGUCAGAGAACAAGGAAGUAAGAGUGGCAUUCGAGGAUACCGAUCAAUCAAUAAACGAAGCCAGCGCGGAUUUGUCUUCGCUGGACAACAUCGAGAUCGGAGACGACGAGAAUCGGAACAAAAGAUUUAGCGGCGGUAAUGGAGAAUCUGGAGGCAGUGGCGGUGGAUCUGGAAAUUUUAUUUUCGAUAUUAUUAGAUUAAUUGCAGGCAGUGGAUCGCCACCAAGUGACGACAGUUCACCUCACGGAAAACACGACCCCGAAGAAGCUGUCCCUGGACCAGCGACGCGAUUUUUAGUUAUUGCCAACCGAGGUCUUUCAAAUCUUAUCCAAGA
Molecule: RNA transcript, 2005 nt
Organism: Microplitis mediator
Lineage: Eukaryota; Metazoa; Arthropoda; Insecta; Hymenoptera; Braconidae
Exons: 6
Source: RefSeq, a predicted model, not a curated record